AACGCACCUUGCGCUCCUUGGUAUUCCGAGGAGCAUGCCUGUUUGAGUGUCAUUAAAUUCUCAACCUCACCUGGUUUCUGACUUGUGUGAUGGCUUGGAUUUGGGAGUUGUGCAGGCUGCAGUUCUCUGCGGCUCUGCUCUCCUUAAAUGUAUUAGCAGGUCUUUUACCUCUAUCCCAACAGUGUGAUAAUCUAUCUACGCUGCUGGUUUGGAGACCCACUUGUGGGGGACUGGCUUCUAACCGUCUGAAAAGACAAUUGACAUUCUUGACCUCAAAUCAGGUAGGACUACCCGCUGAACUUAA
This 304-nucleotide unclassified non-coding RNA is filed under the name uncultured Parasola. Its description in RNAcentral is "sequence contains ITS2". The stretch from base 1 to 52 matches the Rfam family "5.8S ribosomal RNA", at positions 103 to 154 of the family's 154-position model. The record is from RNAcentral. Lineage: Eukaryota; Fungi; Basidiomycota; Agaricomycetes; Agaricales; Psathyrellaceae.